Rosa rugosa (rugosa rose) is the source of this 5381-nucleotide long non-coding RNA. RefSeq lists it as uncharacterized. The record is from RefSeq and is a predicted model, not a curated record. The transcript has 3 exons. Lineage: Eukaryota; Viridiplantae; Streptophyta; Magnoliopsida; Rosales; Rosaceae.
AAGCUUCAAUCGGCCCCUACCUCAGAUUGACAUUUAUGAUUUAUCCUCAUGUUUUGUUUUCUAUAAAUAUAGGCUGAUCGAGUUGUUAUGAUAAAACCAGCUUAAUUGCCUCCAUGAACAUGAAGCUGAUUUUAGUCUCUCUCUCUCUCUCUCUCUUUCUGCCCAGAAGGGAUAUGUUUGAGAUUGAUUGAUCUAAAAAGAAAGUUCAGAAAUAUAAAAAGAAGGUGCAGAAGUACCAGAUAGAGAUGACAUGUAGGAUUAUGUAUAUGGGGUGAGUAGAUUCCAUGCUGUGCUUGUCAGGCGAGCAGUCCUCUCUUGGAUUAACCUUGCUUUCGUUGUCUGUUCGACCUUGAACACUAUUUAAUUUUGAUUGCAUAAAAACCCAAGCUAGCUAACUGCAAGAGUGUUCAACUUUCUCAAUUCAUUUACAAUAUGAUAAAAUUACAGAGAAAAUUCACCCAAAAAUUAAUAAAUCAGAUGAUCGCUUUCUUUCUUUUUUUCUCGACAAAUUAACUCAAAUUAUUGUAUUCAGGUGGAUUUAUAGUUCGUGCACCUUCAUAAUUUUAUGUCAAUUUAGGUCGUAUGCCGGUCAUCCAUGAAAUUCGUGUGAUAUAUACCUAAGGAAUUAGCUAUAAUUCUGUUUGCAUGAAAAUGCAUGUAAACAUAUAUAUGUUUAUGCUAUAUAUGUUUAUAUGUAUAUAUGUAUUUUUUGUGUUGUUUGUUAGGUAUAAUCGUACAGUAGAUGUGUAGACAGAUACAACCUUCUAGUCUAGAGCUUUGCAUGCGACUUUCAGGUGCACUGAGAAUUCAUAAGCAAAAAUGGUUUGAAUAGAUGGAUAGAGUAGUACUGAGGGAAUCUGCAUUCAAUUUAAAUUUCCAAGGUUGUACUUUUGGCAUUUAAUUGACAGAAUCAUAUUCGAUAUAGAUCAUAGUGCUGCGUAUCUAGGUCAAGAUUGAUACCAAUUUAUAUGAUUGUAUUUGCAUUUCAAGAUUUAACGAUAAUUGAAUUAAUAGAUAAUGGAAGUCACAGGCCAACCCGUAACUGAGAGGUAUAAGUUAUAACAGGUGAAAUAUAAUACUAAGGUUUUAAAAGUGAAAAUUGUUAAGCAUAAGGCCGAUGUCAGAAUGUUGUAGUUAGGUAGGAUCUUGUGGUGAUAUUUACACCUACGGAGCAAUAGAUCAGUUUGUUGCUUGAGUUAAGUAGCUUAUUGAGUCCAUAAUUGAAACCAGGUUUAACACCCGUUCCCUGGUUAGUAUGGGUUACGGACUCCAUCAUUAAAAUAUAAAAGAGAAAGGGAAAAAAAAAAUCUAACUUGAUGAUCGAUUGUAAACAGGAUUUCCUGUAUUAUAUUUUUCAAUGUCUACUACGAUUUUUUUUAGAGAAACGGGAUAGGGUUCCAUAUGUCUACUAUGAUAAAUAGUCAAAUACAUGAAUAAUAUUCACUAUAAAUAAGAAAGGGAAAAUUCUUAUUGUUAUAUGAAUUGUUUAGCUAAUUGGUAAGGCACGUACAAUAGAGUAAAGCUAUAUGUGGUAGGUUAACAUUUCUCAUACAUGUCUUAUUUUAUUUAAUAUUUAUCACUUUGAGGACUCGUAUUAUCACUUUGAGUACUCAUGUGGUAAUUAGAAAAAAUUUAUCAGAAAGAUAAAUAAAGUCAUCGUUAGCGUAAAGUAGGUUAUAAAGUCAUCGUUAGUGACUAUAAAAAAAUAAUCACUAAGAUAAAUAUGGUCCUCGUUAGAAAAAGAAAGAGAAAUAUCCUGAUGUAAUAUUUCCAAGGUGCAUUUAUAUGUUUUUUUUUUUUGGGUUCUCAUCUACGUAGGAUGUAAUAAUUAAUCUAUCUGGUGUAGAUUUUAGAACUGUUAAUUAGUUACGUUGGUCUCACUCCACAUUCAUAUGGGCUAACCUGAGCUAGGUUCCAAUUCCAACUCAUCAAUUAAAAUCAUGAUAUAUAGUUAUAUACCAUGAAAGUGGAGCUAGCUAAGGAAAUCUCGCGCACGCACACACAACUACACACACACACACACAUAUAUGUAUCUGCAUAUGUAAGGAGGUUUUAGAGAGGAUUUUCUCACAUUUGAAGUGUAAGGACCCUAAUAUUGUAAGCAUAUAUAACCUGAGGUCAGAAUGAAUAUAUGUUAAUCCAUCGAGUUCAAGGUCGAUCUGACAAUGAAUGUAAGGUAUAUGCAAGGGACUGUUCACUUGACAAGGGUUUGCAUGGAAUUUGACACCCCACCUCCAAUUAGUGCUCUACCACUGCCAUCUGUUUUAUAUUCCAGCUACAUACAAUACCCAAUUAUAUGUUGUCUUCAUCAAAAAGUUCCAUACCAACAAGAAGCUAGUUCCCAGUUUGACAUAGACGGAUCUCCUCUCUCUCUCUGUGUGGAAUUAGGUCAAUUGUGUUGGUAAAUCUUCUUUUUUGUUGUAAAUCUUCAUACUAGCUAGUUGUCUCUUGAUAUUGUUAUGAAUCAUAAUUAUCGGUGUUAUGAGUUAUAUAUAUACUCUGAUCCAUGCGUGCUUGUUUAAGAGUUCUUUUUGUCCUUAUUCAUCAGUUAUUCUUAAUCAAGCCUCUGUGAGCGCCUAAAUUAGCAUAUAGUUUGUCUAAUCUCAUACAACAGUACUAGAAAGGUGUUCCACUAUAGAACAUAUAAUAUAUGUACUUGUUUGUUUGUAAUUAUCAAUGUCUCUUAUAUAGGAAAAUAGUCCAAACAGCAAAUUAAGAUACCAAAUGGCUAUGGUAACAAUAGAGUUGGGCUCCAUGGCUGGCAUGAAAUACAAGCAAUCUGGAGGUUUCCUGCAUAAGUUUUCCUUUAAAUGCAAGUAAAGAUUAAACUAUUCAACGUCCGGAUGAAGCUAAUUAAGUUUCCUAUGCUGAUUUAUAAGAGUAAUUAUGAAACAAAUCACGUCAGGAAGCUUCGAGAGACUGGUGUUUGCAGGUAGCUGCGACAAUUGAAGCUCGGAAUCCUUUCAAUCACCGACUCUUUGUUCAGAAGCACAGAGUCCAUUCAUAUGAUAAUCUAAAUGAAAAUACCCCGUUAUUUCAACAUACCGUACGUAUCCGCUGUAGAAUUUUUAUUUUUCUUUCAUAUAAAAUUCAUGAAUCCCAGCAAAAAAAGAAAAAUGAAAACUUUCUAAUAUAGGAUUUGUCCAAGUAUCAUGGAGCUGACACACAACUCAUGAAAAAAAAGUCUGGAUUCAUCCAAAGUAGGAUAAAAUCAAUUAUAAAAGUCACUAGGGUAAGUAAUGCAGUAAUGCCAAGUAUUUAUAAUUAAUCCAGGAUUAGGCAUAGGCAUGGCCCCAUCACGUUAAAGAUUUGGUCAGGCGAUAUGAUCUUAAUGUAAUAGUAAUCUUGAAUCUACCUAUGAUGAUGAUAGUGAUUAUUAACAGUUAGUCAAUGAUCGUCACGUCACUCACGUGUAAGAAUGUUGCGGGUAAAAGAUACGUGAAGAAGUCGCACGCUUUGAACAACUUGAGAAAGAAAGAAAGCUCCUUUCAUUCUUAUCUCUUUUAAAUUACAUUAUAACCUAACCUACAGCUCGGUAUAUAUAAACGCUAUAGCAUAGAGCCCUUUGCACCAACUAGCUACGCCGGCCUCUUGCUCUAAGAGCAGAUGAAUUAUGAUUAUCUGUGGAAAUUCCCAGGAAGAAGAAGAAGAAGAAGAAUCAAGGAUAAAACAGGCCUCAAUAAUGAUCGUUAUGUGGAAAUUUUCACACGAAGAGCGAAAGAUGGCGCAACCAUGAGCGAAGAUCUACAAGGCCGGGUGAGUGGAUUCCAUGCUAUUCUUGUCAAGUGACCAGAGUCCUUUUGCAAAUUAGUCUUAGCUUCGUUGUCUGUUCGACCUGAAUCAGGCCUCUAUAUAUGGUGUAGUACUAGACUAGUUAGACGCCUGAGAAACCCUAAUUUCAGAUCGAAGUCGUGUGGUGAAUACUAGACCAGGAGGACGUAUGCCGGAUUAAAGUCAUAUAAUUCUCGAUUAAUUUUAGGUUAGCUUUCUAGGUUUAUAAUUCUCGAUUAAGACAGAUGUAUCUUGAAGCAAAGUCUCUUUGUUGUGACCAAACAUUGGUGCUGACAAACUUUUCUUUGUGGGAUCGCAAUUUAUUAGGAGUCUACCAGCAAACAGAAUUAGAUCAAUCAGACAGAAGUGGUUGGUCAAUUAAAAUAGGGAGACAAUGCAAAAUUCUCGAAACCCUAACUAAGAAGGCCGGAGCUUAUCCAUUUUUUGCAAUUUUCUUUUGGAUCCUUUGGGAAUUUAGGUUUAAGUUUAUGUUCUUGUCUCUUGGUUAAAGCAGUGCGUACAGUUGAUGGCCAUUUAGUUAGAAUUAGUAAUACAAACCAUAAGAUAUAAUUGAAGCCUAUAUGAGGCUAGCUAUCUUCCCCAAGAAUGAGGCAGAUAGAGGGCCAAAUUCCUCUGUAACGUACCUUUCAGCUAAUUAAAUGGAUCAGAUAUUAUUUGGUCAAUUAACUUGUACAUCUUUGGUCAUAUAUUCUGUAUACGUACAUAUACAUUCAGGUCUACACCCUAGAAAGUUAAUAGUUUAGUUUAGGUCGAAGGAACAUCGAAUCUAAGGUAUAAGCAAGGAGACUGUUCAUUUGACAAGGGUUUGCAUGGAAUUCAACAUCCAAUAUUACUUGAUCGAGUUCCGAGCCUCAUCUCUUCAAAGCGUCUCUCAUAUCCUUGAUCUUCACCGAAAGUUGCCUAAUAGCCGUGCAUCACACAAAGAAGGUAAAACAUACUGUCACCACUCACCAGCCCAUCUCCUACUUUAUAUAUGAUAUGCACGUUUACCUGCAGCGCCUGCUGUUACAAUUGUAGGAAGCGGGAUCAGCCAGAACUUCAGUACUUCAACAUAUUUAAAGGUCAGCUAGUAGCUCAGGUCGAUAUAUACAGCAGUGGCACACACGAAAAGGAGCUAGGUAGUCCUCUCUUAACCAAUAUGAAGCAACCAAGUUUAGCUGGAUUAACUCUCUCUUUUCAAAGUGGUCUUCUCCAAAUGGUGGUGCAUUUCAGAUAAAGAAGAGGAGACCUAUGAUAUGUAGUCAUAUACCACGUUUUUCUUUACCAUGGUGCAGCAUCCCACAAGUCCACCAAAGAGAAAGCAACUCUUUCGCGGCUGUGACUUGCCCUAGAUCAUGCAUGUGGGAUUAGUUCCAAAACAAAGACAUUUCAAAUCAUGAAUAGAUCAACAGUUGCUAGUUUGCCUAGAAACCCAUCGUGGAAUGUUCCUGUUUUUCCAAGCAAUUAACGAGGAAAAGGAAAACAAACAAAUGUACUCUAGUAUUUGCUCGUCUGAGACACUAGUUUAUAGAGUCUUUUUUUAGUAAUAUCACAGCCCUGUAUUAAACUUCAUUGCAGAAAUGAGAAAAAAAAAUGUAUAGAUUCUAGAA